This is an RNA transcript of Vespula pensylvanica (western yellowjacket), 2352 nucleotides long. It is a transcript of the gene named ruvB-like 2, with no coding region annotated. The record is from RefSeq and is a predicted model, not a curated record. Lineage: Eukaryota; Metazoa; Arthropoda; Insecta; Hymenoptera; Vespidae. The transcript has 11 exons.
CUGCGACUAUUGGUAUGGAUUCUAAACCUGUUGCUAAAUUUUCCUUGAAAUAACCAAAACAUAAUCCAGCUAAUUCUUUUUCAGAAAAUGGCGCUGUAGUCGCAGACGAUUAUUUACGUCAAGUUACUACUCUACAUAUUACGAAUAUAUUUUAUGGAGCAAUGUAGUUUGAUGAAAGAUUCGAAGUUUAAACUGUUGUAUUCACGUGCGUAAAGGAUUACCAUGGCGACUGUUGCAGCAACAAAAGUUCAAGAAGUUCGUGAAAUCACAAGAAUUGAGCGUAUUGGUGCUCAUUCUCAUAUUAGAGGUUUAGGAUUAGAUGAUAGUUUGGAACCUCGCCAUGUAUCUCAAGGUAUGGUUGGCCAACUUAUGGCCCGUCGAGCUGCUGGUGUUGUCUUGGAGAUGAUAAAAGAUGGAAAAAUAGCAGGACGUGCUGUCUUAUUAGCAGGUCAACCUGGUACUGGUAAGACUGCCAUUGCCAUGGGAUUAGCUCAAGCGUUAGGAAUUGAUACUCCAUUCACAUCGAUGGCUGGAUCUGAAAUUUAUUCUUUGGAGAUGAGCAAAACAGAAGCAUUGACUCAAGCUAUAAGAAAAUCGAUAGGAGUUAGAAUUAAAGAAGAAACUGAAAUAAUAGAAGGCGAAGUAGUAGAAAUUCAAGUAGAUAGGCCUGCUACAGGAGUUGGUGCAAAAGUUGGAAAAUUGACAUUAAAAACUACAGAGAUGGAAACGAUUUAUGAUUUAGGAAAUAAAAUGAUUGAUAGUUUAAUGAAAGAAAAGGUACAAGCUGGUGACGUUAUCACGAUUGAUAAAGCAACUGGAAAAAUUAAUAAGUUAGGACGUUCAUUUACAAGAGCUCGAGAUUAUGACGCAACAGGAUCACAAACGAGAUUUGUACAGUGUCCAGAGGGCGAAUUACAAAAACGAAAAGAAGUAGUUCAUACUGUUACUUUGCAUGAGGUUGAUGUUAUAAAUAGUAGAACACAUGGUUUCUUAGCAUUGUUUUCCGGCGACACUGGUGAAAUUAAAUCCGAAGUAAGAGAUCAGAUAAAUGCUAAAGUAGCCGAAUGGCGUGAAGAAGGAAAAGCAGAAAUAGUACCAGGAGUAUUAUUUAUUGAUGAAGUCCAUAUGUUGGAUAUUGAAUGUUUUUCCUUUUUAAAUCGUGCGUUAGAAAACGAAAUGGCACCAGUUGUUAUUAUGGCAACAAACAGAGGAAUUACGAGAAUCAGGGGAACUAAUUAUAAAAGUCCUCACGGUAUUCCCAUCGAUUUACUCGAUCGUAUGAUCAUCGUUCCUACAACUCCGUAUCAAGAAAAAGAAUUGAAAGAAAUUUUAAAAAUAAGAUGCGAGGAAGAAGAUUGCGAAAUGGCGGAUGAUGCAUUGACUGUUCUCACAAGAAUUGCUUUGGAAACGUCUUUGAGAUACGCUAUUCAAUUAAUUACAACCGCAUCUCUUGUCAGUCGACGUAGAAAAAGUACAGAAGUGAGUAUAGACGACGUGAAACGCGUUUAUUCUCUAUUUCUCGAUGAAAAUAGAUCGACACAAUUUCUUAAGGAAUAUCAGGAUGAUUUUAUGUUCAAUGAAUUACCCGAAGAACCUAUGGAAAUUUCGUAACAGUAUGUAUCUUUUUUCAUUUUUCAGCCGAAGAACCUAUGGAAAUUUCGUAACAUGCCAUCUGGUUUAAACAAGGAUUGAGCUUUCUUAUCUUUUGAUAUAAAACCUAAUCCAUAUUCAACCUUAUAAACUGGCAAUGGGAUUACGGUAGAAGAUACGGGUAUCAUUACUGAAAAUAAAUAAUUAUUAUAUCAAUAAAUAAACGACAAACGUUUAUUUAUCGAUCGUUUAAGAAAAAGAUCAAGAAAUGUUUUGAAUCGUCGAGUUCGAUACGAGGUUAAUGUGUAUCGCGUGUCUCUGACUUUGUAAAUAAAGUACAACAAAAGAGUAACUUAUAUACAAAGAUGUCAGUUCUUCGCUGAUCUCCGUGGACCACGGACGUUAUUUUUGGAGGUCUACGCGAGUAUUAAAUAUAUAGGACAAAGAGAGAGAGAGUACUGUAACCAAAAUAUUACAUAAAGCAAUAAUCGAUAAAUAAAAUCUGGAACAAAACAAUGCACCAUUCUAUAAAUACACAUCAAAAACAAUUAUAGAAACGUAAGAACACAGAGAAGAAUGAAUACUACACUCGCUAGGACGCUAUUCCAAAUAUCUCAACUAUUUUAUUACCGACGAAGCAAUUUCCUUUUUAGUAGAAAAAUCUGAAGAAGAGGGUAUUAACUUUAAAGUACUAAGAAACUCUUAUUGUCCAACGUCUUUCCAUUCCGACUUUUAAUAAAACAUGUCAAACAAUUGCAAGUC